This 397-nucleotide ribosomal RNA is filed under the name uncultured bacterium. RNAcentral describes it as "partial 16S ribosomal RNA". It matches the Rfam family "Bacterial small subunit ribosomal RNA", at positions 523 to 918 of the family's 1533-position model. The record is from RNAcentral.
AUACGUAGGGGGCGAGCGUUGUCCGGAAUGAUUGGGCGUAAAGGGCGCGUAGGCGGCCCGGUAAGUCUGGAGUGAAAGUCCUGUUUUUAAGAUGGGAAUUGCUUUGGAUACUGUCGGGCUUGAGUGCAGGAGAGGUAAGUGGAAUUCCCAGUGUAGCGGUGAAAUGCGUAGAGAUUGGGAGGAACACCAGUGGCGAAGGCGACUUACUGGACUGUAACUGACGCUGAGGCGCGAAAGUGUGGGGAGCAAACAGGAUUAGAUACCCUGGUAGUCCACACCGUAAACGAUGAAUGCUAGGUGUAGGGGGUAUCGACCCCUUCUGUGCCGCAGUCAACACAAUAAGCAUUCCGCCUGGGGAGUACGGCCGCAAGGUUGAAACUUAAAGGAAUUGACGGGG